GAUAAGAACGUAGCGAAAUGCGAUAAGUAAUGUGAAUUGCAGAAUUCAGUGAAUCAUCGAAUCUUUGAACGCACAUUGCGCCCGCCAGUAUUCUGGCGGGCAUGCCUGUUCGAGCGUCAUUUCAACCAUCAAGCCCCCGGCUUGUGUUGGGGACCUGCGGCUGCCGCAGGCCCUGAAAAGCAGUGGCGGGCUCGCUGUCACACCGAGCGUAGUAGCAUACAUCUCGCUCUGGGCGUGCUGCGGGUUCCGGCCGUUAAACCACCUUCAUAACCCAAGGUUGACCUCGGAUCAGGUAGGAAGACCCGCUGAACUUAAGCAUAUCAAUAAGGA
RNAcentral lists this unclassified non-coding RNA (330 nucleotides) under soil metagenome. RNAcentral describes it as "partial contains 5.8S ribosomal RNA, internal transcribed spacer 2, and large subunit ribosomal RNA". The stretch from base 4 to 119 matches the Rfam family "5.8S ribosomal RNA", at positions 39 to 154 of the family's 154-position model. The record is from RNAcentral.